This 4658-nucleotide unclassified non-coding RNA is filed under the name Hevea brasiliensis (rubber tree). The record is from RNAcentral. Lineage: Eukaryota; Viridiplantae; Streptophyta; Magnoliopsida; Malpighiales; Euphorbiaceae.
UUGCAUGAUGCUACUCAUUCUCUGCCAAGAGCUUUUGCCUAAUUACAGCCACCAUCCACGUCCCAGUAAUUGAGCUACGGAAGCUUACAAGGCAUUAGACUACUGGCAGAGGUGACCUUUACUCAUUGCAAUAUGUCAAAAAGCUUUGAGACAAAGUUUAAAUGAAAGCUAUACAUAUCACACAUCUAAAAAUGGGAAAUUCUGCCCAUUAACUGCAAACUUGAACAUUUAUAACAAUAAAAAGAUCAACGGAAGAACAAUGUAAACAAGAACUAGAGUCGCUUAAUAAACUUCUUUAUUCUUUUCCUCAGAGUCUGGCUCUUAAAAUUUUCAACUUCUACUGGCCUGACCAUCUUCUUCACUUGAAUUGAAGAACUUAGCUAGUUUUGCAGAUACGGAUAGUUGGCUCUCAUCCAAUAAUUCUUCAUUUCCAUCGUAGUCAUCAUCAUUUUCGUAAACCAGAUGAAUGCCACACUUCUUCAGUUGAACGCCUAUAAUGAUUGGCGGAUUUGGCGCCUUUACCGCUAACUUAUAACCAUCUUUCAAUCUAGAAACCAAUGGAUGAGAAUAUGUGUACCGACACAAGUGGAUUUGAUCUUCAUCAGUCUUUGGCACUCCCCGUAAGUCCAAUGUGUUUACGCAUAAAGGUGUAUUUGCUUUAGACAUCCUUGCUUGAAGGGCUGGUAGAGAUGGUAUUUCAUCUCUCAAGUCGUCUGGUAUCCGAUGGUCCACAGAGACAACAGCACAUAUAAUCACUGCCUUGAUUUCUAGGUUUCUUCGCUCUGAAUAGCUAACUUCUUCUUGAGAAAACCAAUCCGGAAUUUUGCUUCCAGGUAUACUCAAGUUUCUCAUAUUCCUCAAGAAAACCUGCAAUAAAAAUUAUACAAGAAACACAGCCAUGGUAUUAUCAAUGAACAUAGUGUUCAUGCACGCGCGCGCACGCACACACACACACAAAAACACACACAGAGAUGAACCUUUGAAAGUCUUCUCUUUACUGUCAGGGAACAUGCCCUACAACCGGUCAUGUAUAAUCUGGUCAAGGAUUUAAUGCAUUCAAACCCUGGAAUAUCCAGCACUUUCUCGCAAUUUGCAAGGUUCAGCUCCUUUAAGCUCUUCAAGUUUGACAUAUCAGAUACACUUUCCAAUGCAAUACAGUUGGAAACAUCCAGUUCUUCUAAACUUGAAGGCAAUGGAGGGAGAGACACGAGUUCUUCACAGUGUCGCAAGCAAAGAAUUCUGAGAAGAGAAAGGCCCUUCAAGCUUGAAGGAAGGCUGUAAAAAUUGUUGUAGCCAAGAUCCAAGGUCUCUAGCAUUGACAACUUCUCAAAAUCAUCAGGAAUCUUACCAGAUAUUCCCCAAGCAUGAGCGUCCAGUUCUACUAGCGAGGAGAGAUUCGGAAAGAAUGUUGGGAGUACAACCAACUUCUCUUGUGUACUAGGAGAUCUGAAUGCUUUUUUUUUCUUUUUCAUUUUCAAUAUCAUUAAGUUGGAGAGCAUGCCAAAACUCUCAGGGAGUACUGUUACACCAGUUCUCUCCAUCAGAAGAUGGUGCAAGGACUUCAAGUUCCCUAUUGACGCUGGAAGUUUCUCCAGCUCUUUACACUCGUUGAGAGUCAAUGUUAUAAGAUUUUCCAACAUCCCAAUAGAUUCAGGCAACUCAAUAAUAUUAGCACCAGACAAGUUUAAAGUAGUAAGAGCAUUCAUGCUCCCAAGUGCUUCUGGUAAAGUUCUAAUCAAUGCACACUUCUGCAUGUAAAGCUUCUCAAUCAUUCUCAAAUAUCCAAUCUGAUCUGGCAGACUGGUAAUUGAAGUCCCAUCUAAUUGAAGUUCACUAAUGCAAGAUAGUCCCUUGAUUGAAUCUGGCAAUUUGCUUAGAGAUUCACAGCCUUCAGCGGAUAACUGCUUCAGGUAAGACAAUGAACCGAUUGAAUGGGGCAGUUCUGUGAUUGCACUUUUACCAACAAAAAUUUCUGUCAAGGACUGCAGCUCACCAAUAGAUUCAGGAAGGGAGGAAAGUGACUUGCACUGCCUCAAACUUAGUGUCUCAAGGUUUGACAAAGAUCCAACAGAAUCAGGCAAUUCUUCCAAUGCAGUUUGAUCAAGUAAGAGGUCUUUCAGAGAAAUCAAGUUACCUAAGCAUUUUGGCAACCUUUUUAUGAAUCGGCAACCAUCCAGAUUAAGCUUCUCAAGUUUUGUAAGGCGAUAGAUAGAUUCAGGCAACUUUGAAAUAGCAGUUUGAUCAACAUGAAGUUCUUUCAGGGACUUCAUACUCCCUAUGUCCUCUGGCAAUUCUUUCAAUUUUGAGCAGCCGGAGAGAAUAAGGUUUUGAAGAUUUUUUAGCCCAGAGACAUCACUCGGCAUUUCAAUGAGGUUUGAGCAUCCUUUCAAGUUCAAGCAAAGCAAUGUCGUCAAAUUCCCCACCGACUUGUGAAUUUUAGUCAGUCGAAUGCACCUCUCCAGAUCAAGCUUUUCCAAGGUUUUAUACCCAUAUAAAUCAGGAAUAGCCACUAGAUUAUGGCAAUGACGAAGAUUCAUAACCAUCAACUUCUCAGCCACCUUGUUGCUGCACCAACCCCAGACUCGUUGAAUUCCACUCUCCGAGAGAUCAAGGAUGGCCAGUCGUGAAGGAUGAUAAUCAGAAGGAAGAUUUCUCAAAGGACAUUCCUUCCACUGCAGCCACUUGAGCUCCCCAGGAAAAUAUUUAAACUUCCCUUCUAAUUUCACACGAUUGAUUUGUAGCAAUCUUAGAUUAACCAUUGAUUCAAAGGAACUGGUGCUAAGUAUUAUCUCACCCUGUUUCUCUUCUCCUCGUGGAAGACUUAGAAGACGUGCCCAUUUUUCUUUCAGGUAUGCAAGGAAGUUAUCACAAACAAUCAUGAUUUUUGUAAUAACUUUCUUGAGGAUCGAGUUUGGAUUUAGUGCAGCUAGGAAGUUACUGCAAAAAAUCAUGCCAGCACUUGGAUCCUCCUCCACAAAAUGCUUCCUUCUGAAGUCAAGGAUGAUCCCUUGCACGUAUCUUGUCCCCUUGUUAUGCUUCAGAACUGUCAUGAUUUCAUCAUAAUCCCACAAUCUACUAUGUGCACCGGGAUCAGCAAGGUUUUCAAGUAAAACAAUUUGUCUUCCCAUUUCUUUAAGUUGAUCGUGCAUCCACAAAGUAUAGUCUCCAGACUCCUCUCUGAACUUAAUGAGAGAUUUUUCCAUGAGGACAUUAAUUGCUGUCUCAGCCUUAAAGCCACAACCUUUAAAUAUAUCAAUUGCUUCCUCUCUCUUCAUUUCUAUUCUAGUGAACAAACAUGCAAUAUCAAGGAAUACACACUUCUCUUCUUCAUCGAGUGCAUCAAAACUUAUUCUUAGCACACCUUGAAGAUUAUGUGGCCGAAUCUGUUGCAACUUUUUGAGGGCAUCUUCCCAUUCGUUCAUUGUCCUCCUAUGAAACAUAUAAGAGCCAAACACUUCCAGUGCUAAAGGUAGUCCUCCUGUAAGAGAGACAAUUUUCUGGGCCAGAUUCAAGUAAUCAUUUGUGGGUUUCUCUCUUCUUAGUGCAUGAUAACUAAAAAGUUGUAAAGCUUCAGAGGGAUACAAUUCUGUCACUUCAUGAACUUCAUUCACAAGAUGUUCAACCAAAACAUGUUUAUUUCUUGUGGUAAUAAUAAUUACACUUCCUUCACAAAACCAGUUUCUGUUUACUGCCAGUGCAUUGAGCUGGCUUACAUCAUCCACAUCGUCCAAGACAGCUAGCAGCCGCCGCUCGGGAAGCUUCUGUUUGAUCAUAGUGAUACCAGCAUCAACCUCAUGCACAGGUGACACUAAAGCAGGUGAAAGAGCACAAAGAAUUUUAUUUUGAAGUGAUAUCAAACCGCCAUCUUCUUUAGCAGUUUCUCUAACAUUUGAAAUGAAACAGCGGCAUUCAAAGUGACUGAUAAGUUUAUUGUAGAGGGCCUUGGAAAGAGUUGUUUUACCAAUCCCACCCAUUCCAUGAAGUCCUAGAACUUGAGUGCAAUUAGAUUUAACAUUUAACAACUUCAUCAGUUUGUCUGCACGAGAAUCGAGUCCAACUGUAUAUGUAGCUAUACCCACUGUCCUUCUCAGUUCUGUCAAAACCCUUCUGACUAGUAUUUGAAUCAACUGCUGUUCUUUGCUGUUGUCAUAAGGCAAACCAGAAAUCCCACCAACUUUCUGCAUAGCUUUUCUCCAUUUUUUCACCUUUUCCUCCCCAAACCUCUCAGUAUGAGUACUGAAAUCUUUUUCAAAAUGACCCGUCUGUUUCCUAACAUUAGAAGGGUCAACAUCGUAGAACACUGGGAGUAUCAGCCUCCCUAGCUGGCAUAUUGUAGCGAGCUCCUCAAGGCACCAAUGAGAAUUAGCAUAGUUCGGAGAAAGCAUGAUGAUUGAAGCAGCCGAGUCUUCGAUGGCGUCGAGCAGGCUAGGGGCUAUUUCGUCCCCCUGACUCAUUCCCACGUCGUCGCGGAAGACCCGGACUCCGUGCUCGGUCAAUGAAUCGUAGAGGUUCUUGAUGAUAUUGUGGCGCGUGUCCUCGCCGCGAAAACUUAAGAAUACGUCCCAAUUGAGUCUCAGCGCGGCCAGAGGCGUGGAAACGAGGUCGGAGGACAUUGUUUGGCAACUGUUUGUCAGGUGGGAAGCAAGAUGUGGUGAUUA